Molecule: ribosomal RNA, 120 nt
Filed under: Florenciella parvula
Lineage: Eukaryota; Dictyochophyceae; Florenciellales
Source: RNAcentral
UGGGUGUUUUUAGCAAAAUGGAACCACGUCGAUCCAUCUCGAACUCGAACGUGAAACAUUUUUGCGGUGACAAUACUGCAGGGGAAGCCUUGUGGGAAGAUAACUCGAUGCCCUAAAUUU